Molecule: long non-coding RNA, 368 nt
Organism: Passer domesticus (house sparrow)
Lineage: Eukaryota; Metazoa; Chordata; Aves; Passeriformes; Passeridae
Exons: 3
Source: RefSeq, a predicted model, not a curated record
AAUUGGUGAUUUUAGGAAGGGACAGACUUGUAGAAGAGAGGCAUGAGAAGGACACCACAGCUGGGGAUACCCCAAACCCUGCCAACUCUCGGUGAUUUUCAGGAUGAGUAGCUGAACACAGCUGAGUGCUCCAUGGAAAUAAGUGGAGACAGGAACAUAAGCUUCCUCUGCCUACAGAUUCAAUUAAUAACUGGGAAGAAAACAGUUUUAAUUUAUAACAAGGAGUGCUCCAAAACUUUUAAGUACAAAGUCCCAGAAGGUCUGAAUCAGCCACAUUAGCUGAAACUUCACAGAAUUAGAGAACCAAGGUAAAGCUGGAAGAGGCCACAGUGGAUCAUCUGGUCCAACCUCCCGCUCCAGCAGGGUCA